RNAcentral lists this ribosomal RNA (1388 nucleotides) under Escherichia coli. Its description in RNAcentral is "partial 23S ribosomal RNA". It matches the Rfam family "Bacterial large subunit ribosomal RNA", at positions 165 to 1597 of the family's 2925-position model. Lineage: Bacteria; Pseudomonadati; Pseudomonadota; Gammaproteobacteria; Enterobacterales; Enterobacteriaceae. The record is from RNAcentral.
CAUAGGUUAAUGAGGCGAACCGGGGGAACUGAAACAUCUAAGUACCCCGAGGAAAAGAAAUCAACCGAGAUUCCCCCAGUAGCGGCGAGCGAACGGGGAGGAGCCCAGAGCCUGAAUCAGUGUGUGUGUUAGUGGAAGCGUCUGGAAAGGCGCGCGAUACAGGGUGACAGCCCCGUACACAAAAAUGCACAUAUUGUGAGCUCGAUGAGUAGGGCGGGACACGUGGUAUCCUGUCUGAAUAUGGGGGGACCAUCCUCCAAGGCUAAAUACUCCUGACUGACCGAUAGUGAACCAGUACCGUGAGGGAAAGGCGAAAAGAACCCCGGCGAGGGGAGUGAAAAAGAACCUGAAACCGUGUACGUACAAGCAGUGGGAGCCUCUUUAUGGGGUGACUGCGUACCUUUUGUAUAAUGGGUCAGCGACUUAUAUUCUGUAGCAAGGUUAACCGAAUAGGGGAGCCGAAGGGAAACCGAGUCUUAACUGGGCGUUAAGUUGCAGGGUAUAGACCCGAAACCCGGUGAUCUAGCCAUGGGCAGGUUGAAGGUUGGGUAACACUAACUGGAGGACCGAACCGACUAAUGUUGAAAAAUUAGCGGAUGACUUGUGGCUGGGGGUGAAAGGCCAAUCAAACCGGGAGAUAGCUGGUUCUCCCCGAAAGCUAUUUAGGUAGCGCCUCGUGAAUUCAUCUCCGGGGGUAGAGCACUGUUUCGGCAAGGGGGUCAUCCCGACUUACCAACCCGAUGCAAACUGCGAAUACCGGAGAAUGUUAUCACGGGAGACACACGGCGGGUGCUAACGUCCGUCGUGAAGAGGGAAACAACCCAGACCGCCAGCUAAGGUCCCAAAGUCAUGGUUAAGUGGGAAACGAUGUGGGAAGGCCCAGACAGCCAGGAUGUUGGCUUAGAAGCAGCCAUCAUUUAAAGAAAGCGUAAUAGCUCACUGGUCGAGUCGGCCUGCGCGGAAGAUGUAACGGGGCUAAACCAUGCACCGAAGCUGCGGCAGCGACACUAUGUGUUGUUGGGUAGGGGAGCGUUCUGUAAGCCUGUGAAGGUGGCCUGUGAGGGUUGCUGGAGGUAUCAGAAGUGCGAAUGCUGACAUAAGUAACGAUAAAGCGGGUGAAAAGCCCGCUCGCCGGAAGACCAAGGGUUCCUGUCCAACGUUAAUCGGGGCAGGGUGAGUCGACCCCUAAGGCGAGGCCGAAAGGCGUAGUCGAUGGGAAACAGGUUAAUAUUCCUGUACUUGGUGUUACUGCGAAGGGGGGACGGAGAAGGCUAUGUUGGCCGGGCGACGGUUGUCCCGGUUUAAGCGUGUAGGCUGGUUUUCCAGGCAAAUCCGGAAAACCAAGGCUGAGGCGUGAUGACGAGGCACUACGGUGCUGAAGCGACAAA